CCUGAGAAACCCAAAAGAUCGAAUGGGGAGAUUCAUCGUCAGCUCAUUUUGUAUAUAUAUAAGUAAUGAUGUGGGUUACUACUUGUAUUGCCUAUACAUUCUUGUAUAUUUUAUUGCUAAAUGUUGUCGGCGUGCACUUCUCCCCUAGUAGAACGUCGCGACUCGUUGAGUGUCGGUCUACGGCCCAAGUGAUAGUCUUUAAUGAUAAAUUUAAAAAAGUCAUUAAAAAUCCUUGGUGUUUUCUGAUCCGACUACUUGGCGAUACUCAAACGGUAUUUAGCCGCAAAUUUUAUUUAAUUUGCGUUCAUACCCGUCGCAAGCGAGGCCAAUUCAAUUACUAGUAGUACGGACCAAGUGCCGUCGCUGGUAUUGGCCAGCUGUUGGUUGUACGGUGUUCUAGAACUGGCUAUAAGAAUUACCGGUCGGCGAUGCUACUGCUUUGGGUACUUUCAGG
Molecule: ribosomal RNA, 454 nt
Filed under: Pseudoyelicones sp. DHJPAR0035971
Lineage: Eukaryota; Metazoa; Arthropoda; Insecta; Hymenoptera; Braconidae
Description: eukaryotic LSU rRNA
Source: RNAcentral